This is a long non-coding RNA of Dendroctonus ponderosae (mountain pine beetle), 1770 nucleotides long. RefSeq lists it as uncharacterized. NCBI's taxonomy places the organism in Eukaryota, Metazoa, Arthropoda, Insecta, Coleoptera, Curculionidae. The record is from RefSeq and is a predicted model, not a curated record. The transcript has 2 exons.
CGGGCCAGCAAUACCAAUCUCAAUCUGCAAUUAAAAACAGUCAAAUUAAUUAUCUGGUUCUAUUGAAAUUAGCUGGUAUUCAAUGGAAAUUGUUGGCAAAACAAGGUGUCAAAUCGAUAUUGUUCAAGUGCGUAUCCUGAUGUAAAUGCCUUACCUUAGUAAUAUAUUUUAUCUUCUCAACUUCGUUCCACUGAAAACUUCCAACUGGGGUGAGAGUUUCGAUGUUAGCCCUUGGUGGAGCUUGACGUCUUCAUGCAGCACCCCCACCGCCAGCCAUUCAUUGCGAAUGGCCUUCAGCGUUGCCAGGUCAACAAGUACGAGAGCGGUAGAAUAAACAUAACAGCAGAUAGUAUUCAGUUCCUCCAAAUUUUUGUUUUUGAUUAUUCAGGCAGUAAAUUAUGAGUUCACAUUUUCGAAAAAAAGUUUUAUUGACAAUUUCAUCAUUUAUAUAGAGUAUUCCAAGCGUUUUAGCGGUAGAUUUUUGUAGGUUUACGGGAGAUCUACCCUAAAAACGGUAGACCUGGCUACCUGCCGGCCUGCCUUUUGUCUUUGACCAUUAAUGCGCCUGUACAGGAUUGCCAGCUUUUUCGAUUUGCAUUUGCGACACGUGAGCCUUUUUAUUGAGAUUUUUGGCUGUAUAAGCAGAUAAAAACGACAAAUUUAAUGUGAAAUAAAUAAUAACCUGAUUGAGACAUUUGAUAAUUAAUUUUUAUAUUUUUAUUCAAUAGUUUGAGCAUGCAACGUUGCAGUAUAGUUUAUUUACGUCUUUAUCGCACUCGUUGAAAGGUUAUAUAAUUCCUAGAAGGCGAUUAAGAACCCAUCUAGAUAAAAUUUUAUUGUCCCCAAUUGUAUUUCAGAAUUUUCCAGACACAAAUCUCAACCUCUGGCACCAGGACUAAUUAGUCUGAAACGUGGGGCAAUUUGUCCACAGAACAUACCCCCUAGGGGGGAUAUUUUGUGAAUUUGUCUUUAUCUAUCACUAGGGCCAAGCAUAUACUUUUACGUAAAAGUAGGUAAGGUAUAUGGGGCCAAGACUAAGCAAAUAUGUUUUCUAUUGUAACACGGCUGUAAACAUUUCAAAACGUGUGAUUUUCUCUGAAUGAUUUAUUAAGGGGCCGUUUCGACGUUUAGUGAUAUCUCGAACGAACUUUGUUACCUGGUUUCUCUAGCCAUUAACAAGCUGGAAAACCAUAGACAAUAAAAUAAAAUAAUGUUGAAAACAUUUGGGAUCGUAUGAUGAUAUUCCAAAUAUCUACUGCAAAAUGUGCACUUUUCUUUUAUUAGUGGUUCAGCAGUGAAAUGAAACAGGGACUUUGUUCCGUUAAUUUGUUUAUUUCUCGUUAAAUAUUUUUAACACGGUUUGGAACGUAUGUAUCUACCCUACGACUAAGAUAUCUUUCAAACUACAUUUUAUAUACAAUAAUAGAAUAUUAUUUGACGUGGUCUGUUUGAAAAUCAACAGAUAAAAGUGAAAUUAAAGCAUACUAUGGACAGUUGCGCGAAUAUUCAGCAUAACUGGAAAUCGAAUGCUUGCUAUGCCAGCUCCAAUUAACAUACUUCUAAACAAUAAGCCAACGAAUUUCAGGAUUAUCUAAUACUGGAAUGUCUCAAUAAAAGGCUGCAUAAGUUUUUAGCGAAAAGGGGACCAUUCAACUAUUUAAGUAUAAUUACAUUAUUUUUCACGUAUCCUUGUAAGUUUGUCUGUCUGCAUGUACUGAUGAUUUAGUGAAUAGUGCUUAUGCAGAAGCUCCCAUGCUGCCUUUAGAAGUC